This 497-nucleotide ribosomal RNA is filed under the name uncultured bacterium. Its description in RNAcentral is "partial 16S ribosomal RNA". It matches the Rfam family "Bacterial small subunit ribosomal RNA", at positions 28 to 507 of the family's 1533-position model. The record is from RNAcentral.
GAUGAACGCUGGCGGCGUGCCUAAUACAUGCCAGUCGAGCGAACGGACGAGAAGCUUGCUUCUCUGAUGUUAGCGGCGGACGGGUGAGUAACACGUGGAUAACCUACCUAUAAGACUGGGAUAACUUCGGGAAACCGGAGCUAAUACCGGAUAAUAUUUUGAACCGCAUGGUUCAAAAGUGAAAGACGGUCUUGCUGUCACUUAUAGAUGGAUCCGCGCUGCAUUAGCUAGUUGGUAAGGUAACGGCUUACCAAGGCAACGAUGCAUAGCCGACCUGAGAGGGUGAUCGGCCACACUGGAACUGAGACACGGUCCAGACUCCUACGGGAGGCAGCAGUAGGGAAUCUUCCGCAAUGGGCGAAAGCCUGACGGAGCAACGCCGCGUGAGUGAUGAAGGUCUUCGGAUCGUAAAACUCUGUUAUUAGGGAAGAACAUAUGUGUAAGUAACUGUGCACAACUUGACGGUACCUAAUCAGAAAGCCACGGCUAACUACGUG